RNAcentral lists this ribosomal RNA (440 nucleotides) under uncultured bacterium. Its description in RNAcentral is "bacterial SSU rRNA". It matches the Rfam family "Bacterial small subunit ribosomal RNA", at positions 338 to 795 of the family's 1533-position model. The record is from RNAcentral.
CCUACGGGAGGCUGCAGUGGGGAAUAUUGCACAAUGGGGGAAACCCUGAUGCAGCAACGCCGCGUGAGCGAUGAAGGCCUUCGGGUCGUAAAGCUCUGUCCUAAGGGAAGAAUACUGACGGUACCUUAGGAGGAAGCCCCGGCUAACUACGUGCCAGCAGCCGCGGUAAUACGUAGGGGGCUAGCGUUAUCCGGAAUUACUGGGCGUAAAGGGUGCGUAGGCGGCCCUUCAAGUCAGAGGUGAAAGGCUACGGCUCAACCGUAGUAAGCCUUUGAAACUGUAGGGCUUGAGUGCAGGAGAGGUGAUUGGAAUACCCAGUGAAGCGGUGAAAUGCGACGAUAUCGGGAGGAACACGAGUUACGAAGGCGGCUCUCUGAACUGUAACUGACGCUGAGGCACGAAAGCGUGGGGAGCGAACAGGAAUGGAUACCCCUGUAGUC